AGCCCUGUGGUGUCAACACGUCAGAUUGCAAACCUGAAGAAGUAGACUACCGUCUGCCGGGGCUU
Molecule: transfer RNA, 65 nt
Filed under: Galaxias olidus
Lineage: Eukaryota; Metazoa; Chordata; Actinopteri; Galaxiiformes; Galaxiidae
Description: tRNA-Cys
Source: RNAcentral